Molecule: ribosomal RNA, 497 nt
Filed under: uncultured bacterium
Lineage: Bacteria
Description: partial 16S ribosomal RNA
Rfam family: Bacterial small subunit ribosomal RNA
Source: RNAcentral
GAUGAACGCUGGCGGCGUGCCUAAUACAUGCAAGUCGAGCGAACGGACGAGAAGCUUGCUUCUCUGAUGUUUGCGGCGGACGGAUGAGUAACUCGUGGAUACCCUACCUAUCUGCCUGGGAUAACUUCGGAACACCGGCGCCACUACCGGCUAAUCUUUUCAACCGCAUGGUUCCAACGUGACCGACGGUCUUGCUGUCACUUUUAGCUGGUUCGGCGCUGCAUUAGCUAGUUGGUAAGGUAACGGCUUACCAAGGCAACGAUGCAUAGCCGACCUGAGAGGGUGAUAGGCCACACUGGAACUGAGACACGGUCCAGACUCGUACGGGAGGCAGCAGUAGGGAAUCGUGCGCAAUGGGCGAAAGCCUGACGGAGCAACGCCGCGUGAGUGAUGAAGGUCUUCGGAUCGUAAAACGCUGUUAUUAGGGAAGAACAGAUGUGUGAGUACAGGUGCACAUCCUGACGGUACCCAAUCAGAAAGCCACGGCUAACUACGUG